RNAcentral lists this ribosomal RNA (334 nucleotides) under Olivierus caucasicus. RNAcentral describes it as "Mesobuthus caucasicus partial 16S ribosomal RNA". Lineage: Eukaryota; Metazoa; Arthropoda; Arachnida; Scorpiones; Buthidae. The record is from RNAcentral.
CUUUUGCACCAAAGAGGACUUUUAAUUCAACAUCGAGGUCAUAAACUCACUUGUCAAUUAGAACUUUUUAAGUGAAUUAAGCUGUUAUCCCUAAAGUAACUUAUUCUUUUUUUAAAAUUUUUAGAUAUUAAGACCCAUAAAGUCUUUUGAAAACAAGAAAAGUUAUUUUUCCCUACCGCCCCAGUAAAAUAUUCAUUUUCCUCACUAAAAGAAGUAAAUAUAAAGUUUUAUAGGGUCUUCUUGUCUUUAAGAUUUAUUUUAGCCUUCUUACUAAAAGGUCAACUUCAUUUUUUUAUCUUAAAAAAGCCUAUUCCAGUUUACCCUUUCAUUCCAG